This 1533-nucleotide long non-coding RNA is filed under the name Homo sapiens (human). RNAcentral's name for it is "non-protein coding lnc-UGP2-3:2". The record is from RNAcentral. Lineage: Eukaryota; Metazoa; Chordata; Mammalia; Primates; Hominidae.
UCUGUUUUCCAUAAGCACUCAAAUAUUUUUUCAAAAACUUUAAAAGCAAAGCACAACUUGUGCUCUGCCACUGCCAAAAAGGAUUUGAAGCAGCAAAAUAUUAAGAUUCAGGAAAACUGAAGACUCUUUUUUGUUUUUUUUUUUAAAGGCAAGAGCCAAGGAAAAAGGUGUAUAUGGCGAGGAGGAAGAAAAACUUUAUCAGAAUGCUUUCGCUAAAUGAAGCGAUUAUAGUUGAAAACAAAACUUCAUUUCCUUAGAGGGAAGCCAAAGCAAAGAGAGAACCAUGAGACGUGUCCCAACUCUCUAUUUCAAUGAAAGGAAAUUCACCAUUCAUCAGGAGGGAUACUUUUUUGUUUGUUUCUAAGCUAGCGUGGGGUAUACAGAGAACACUGAUCAUAAUGGUUGAGAACUUUGAUAGUAGUUAUAAGUGGAGUUGUCCUUCCUUUGGCAAAUGUCGUCUGACAGGUGCCUCAGUCUAACACUCAGGACGGAGUUCCUGAUUCCUCCACCAGUGAGCCUCAUCCCCUAAACAGUUCUUCCUAUAAUCUCUACUUCAACAAAUGGCAGUUCCAUCCUUCCAGUUGCUGAGGCUGAUUGAGUGGAGUCAUCCUUGAUCCCUCUUCUUUCAAACCCUGUAGCUGAUCUGCUAGCAAAUGCUGUCAGGUCUGCCUUUAAAACACAUUCAGAAUCUGAUCACUUUUCAAACCACCUCCACUGCCACCACCUUAUCCAAACCAUGAUUUAUCUCCAGGAUUACUGCAAUGUUCUCCCUGAUCCCACCUUCAGUGUAUUCAGAUCCUAUUAAAUAUGUCACAUCAAGUCACUCACCUGCUCAAAACCCUCCAAUGUCCCAAUCUCAUUCAGAAUUAAAGCCAUAAAUCCCAGGGGGCUCUCCAUAAUCUAUUGUCAUCCCCAUCUGUCACUUAAAUUCUGUCGUUUUACUUCUUUGACCUUACCUGCUACUCUUCCUUGAUUCAUACCACUUGGCAUCACACGCCUCUUUGCUAUUGUAGAAAUAUCCCAGACAUGCUUCUAUUUCAGGGCCCUUGCAAGGGCCUUGUAGAGCUCUCUGCCUAAAUGCCCCUCUAAGUGGCCACUCCCUUCUCUCUUCAGCUCUUUUAGAGCUUUAUUCAAAUACCACCUUCCCAGUGGGGCUUUCCCUAGCCUUCCUGUUUGAUAUUGCAAACACUUCUCCUCCUGCCCCAGCAUAUGACAUUUUGCAUCUGCAUCUCCUCUUUCUACUUUAUUUGCCCCCUCAGCACAGUUCACUAUCAUAUUGUAUAUAUACAUAUAUUUACUUUUUCUUGCUUAUUUCUAUCUUGUACACUAGAAUACAAACACGAUGAAGGCAGGGAUUUUUUUUUUCCUGCUAUAUCACCCGGUUUAGGACAGGGCUUGGCACACAGUGGGUAUACAAAAAUCUGUUUUAAGAAAGCAGAGGCCGGGCGUGGUGGCUCACGCUUGUAAAUCCAGCACUUUAGGAGGCCGAGGUGGGUGGAUCACUUGGGUCCAGGAGUUCGAGACCAGCCUAGC